GGUUCGCACUUGAAGAAAAAAUUCGUUCGAUCGCAUCGGAUGCCAGGAAGAUAGAAUAGAUUAGUAAUUAAAAUUUUUAUAAUAUUUAUGAAUUCUUACUUUGAUUCAUAGUAGAAAAGAAUCAAGAUUGAAGAAGCUCCUCGAUUGAUAUACUUCGUGAGAUUUGGAUGUAUGGAUCCUCUACUUUGCAUGCACGCCAAAUGUUGUAGGAGAGAAGGAUGAAAUCUUUCUUCAAAGAGGAAGGAGAAGUAUACUUGAGAUCUGAUCUCAAGGCUUUAGAGUAGCCCAUACGCCACCACGCCAAGAAGAGGGAG
This 314-nucleotide long non-coding RNA is filed under the name Elaeis guineensis (African oil palm). Its description in RNAcentral is "long non-coding RNA (EGUI_LNC036975)". The record is from RNAcentral. Lineage: Eukaryota; Viridiplantae; Streptophyta; Magnoliopsida; Arecales; Arecaceae.